Molecule: long non-coding RNA, 472 nt
Organism: Poecilia latipinna (sailfin molly)
Lineage: Eukaryota; Metazoa; Chordata; Actinopteri; Cyprinodontiformes; Poeciliidae
Exons: 2
Source: RefSeq, a predicted model, not a curated record
CUGUACAACCAACAAGGAAGCAGCAAGUGGUUUCUGGAUGUGCAGAAAGUGUGAGCGCUGCUGCAGCCAAGCCCCCCUCCCUUCCUCUUCAUCGCUCGGCGUUACAUAACGGUCUCCACUGCAGAGGAAGAGCACUGCAGAGAAACUCUCGGGUCUCCAGCUCCUCAGAGGACAUCACGUGUCCACGUUACAUGAAGGGCCUGGGGACGCGUCUCCGUCCCCCAAGGCAAGCCGCGUCCCCACAAAGGGCUUCUGAAUGCGUUUUUGAGGAAAACUGAUGCGCACUCAUACAUGCUGAGGGAAGAAUUUUAAACGGGCUUUUACUAAAUGUUCAAAGAGAGCCAGCCGUCAAACCACUUCGGUCCGUUUGUUGGAUCCGAUUGUGUGGCUUUAAAAAAACUGAAUAAACUGGAAAAGGGAAGGAGAAAAAGUAACAUGUCAACAUGUCAAACUAAAAAAAAACUAACUACAG